UACAGAGACUGCGAGCGUUAUUCGGAUUCACUGGGCGUAAAGGGUGCGCAGGCGGCCAAGUGUGUGAGGCGUGAAAGCCCGGGGCUUAACCCCGGAAUUGCACCUCAAACUACAUGGCUAGAGCAUUGGAGAGGGAAGCGGAAUUCACGGUGUAGCAGUGAAAUGCGUAGAGAUCAUGAGGAAGACCAGUGGCGAAGGCGGGUCUCUGGACAGUUCCUGACACUGAGGCACGAAGGCCAGGGGAGCAAACGGG
This 253-nucleotide ribosomal RNA is filed under the name uncultured bacterium. RNAcentral's name for it is "partial 16S ribosomal RNA". It matches the Rfam family "Bacterial small subunit ribosomal RNA", at positions 524 to 776 of the family's 1533-position model. The record is from RNAcentral.